AUUGAACGCUGGCGGCAGGCCUAACACAUGCAAGUCGAACGAGUGGCGGACUGGUGAGUAAUGUAUGGGAAACUGCCUGAUGGAGGGGGAUAACUACUGGAAACGGUAGCUAAUAGCGCAUACCAUCGGAUGUGCCCAGAUGGGAUUAGCUAGUAGCUGGGGUAACGGCUCACCUAGGCGACGAUCCCUAGCUGGUCUGAGAGGAUGACCAGCCACACUGGAACUGAGACACGGUCCAGACUCCUACGGGAUGCAGAAGUGGGGAAUAUUGCACAAUGGGCGCAAGCCUGAGGCAGCCAUGCCGCGUGUAUGAAGAAGGCCUUCGGGUUGUAAAGUACUUUCAGCGAGGAGGCGUUACUCGCAGAAGAAGCACCGGCUAACUCCGUGCCAGCAGCCGCGGUAAUUC
RNAcentral lists this ribosomal RNA (406 nucleotides) under uncultured bacterium. RNAcentral's name for it is "partial 16S ribosomal RNA". It matches the Rfam family "Bacterial small subunit ribosomal RNA", at positions 30 to 526 of the family's 1533-position model. The record is from RNAcentral.